Molecule: ribosomal RNA, 343 nt
Filed under: uncultured soil bacterium
Lineage: Bacteria
Description: bacterial SSU rRNA
Rfam family: Bacterial small subunit ribosomal RNA
Source: RNAcentral
GUGGGGAAUCUUGCACAAUGGGCGAAAGCCUGAUGCAGCGACGCCGCGUGGGGGAUGAAGCUUCUCGGAGUGUAAACCCCUUUCGACCGGGACGAAUACCUCGCAAGAAGAGUGACGGUACCGGUAUAAGAAGCCCCGGCUAACUACGUGCCAGCAGCCGCGGUAAUACGUAGGGGGCCAGCGUUUCUCGGAAUUAUUGGGGUGUAAAGGGCUCGUAGGCGGUGUGGCAAGUCGGGAGUGAAAUCUCUGGGCUUAACCCAGGGCCUGCUUCCGAAACUGCUGUGCUAGAGUGUGGGAGAGGCGAGUGGAAUUCCAGGUGUAGCGGUGAAAUGCGUAGAUAUCU